Pygocentrus nattereri (red-bellied piranha) is the source of this 907-nucleotide long non-coding RNA. RefSeq lists it as uncharacterized. The record is from RefSeq and is a predicted model, not a curated record. NCBI's taxonomy places the organism in Eukaryota, Metazoa, Chordata, Actinopteri, Characiformes, Serrasalmidae. The transcript is spliced from 4 exons.
UGUUUGAGCUGCUGAGUCUUUGAUGAUUUUGUUGUUGUACUUUUGAUCUUCGUUGCUCGUUUGGGAUUGUUUUGGAUUGUUUUGGAUUGUUUUGGACCUGACCGUGUUUCCUGACCCUGAGCUCGGACCACGUUUCUAACGUUCACUCCACGUCACGGUGCCGAACAGCCUCCGGAGCCCCGAACGCCAGCAGAUGAAUCGGGGUGAAGCCUUCAGUCCAGGGGACUGAGAGGAACCAGCCAUGAGAUCAUUCCUCAAUGUUUCUGCCACAGCAUCUGCUAAAGAACUCCGUACCAACGUCUCCAGAGUCUGAGCCAUAAAGUCAAGAGAUGCCGAGGAGAAGACAGCAGUGGAAAAUGGCAUUACAGGUUGAGAAUGAACAGCAGUGGGAACAAGCUGAGCUGUGCUUAACGCCAUGGCCCGGCUGUGAACGCACAUACAGGGAGUCUGCAGCUAAUUAUGGGACUCACGUUGAUUUAUUAGGUGCCUUUUUGUAAUUGAAUUUAUGUUUUAAUGGUUUCUAUCUUUCAAAAACUUGGUUUGUUCUCUGACUUGCUGAAAUGUAACAAAUCACAACUGGGACACCAGCACUAUUGUUUUGCAUUUUAAAAGAAAGUUGAGAUUAAAUCAAAUGAGAAGCAUAAAAACCUUCACUAAUCAACAACAUGCAGGAAUUCAGAACCCGCAGUUCACUCUGAAGUGGUGUGGAAGGACGGUCCAGUUCCACUAAAGGAACGUUUUCAAGAUUAGUGAGAGGAAAGUCUGGAUAAUUAAAAGAAUGUUGGAGUAUUGUUCUGUUAACUCGCUAACAAGGACAGUAUUUAAAGGUAAUAUGGUCACUAACUUCCAUCCAUCCAUUUUCUAAGCCGCUUCUCCGUCAGGGUCGUGGGGGGUGCUGGAGCCUAUC